GAGGAUGUGGCGGAAUUGGUAUACGCUGAUGAUACUAAGCCCUACAUGUUGUCCGGAGGCUGCGAUCUUUACUAUGAAAGUAGAUGAUAAUGCCCGAAGAAAUAUCCGGUGUGGGGCGUACAGGUUCAAGUCCUGUCAUCCUCC
RNAcentral lists this transfer RNA (144 nucleotides) under Dysgonomonas sp. HDW5A. RNAcentral's name for it is "tRNA-OTHER". It matches the Rfam family "tRNA". From Rfam's summary of the family: Transfer RNA (tRNA) molecules are approximately 80 nucleotides in length. Their secondary structure includes four short double-helical elements and three loops (D, anti-codon, and T loops). The record is from RNAcentral. Lineage: Bacteria; Pseudomonadati; Bacteroidota; Bacteroidia; Bacteroidales; Dysgonomonadaceae.